This 253-nucleotide ribosomal RNA is filed under the name uncultured bacterium. RNAcentral's name for it is "partial 16S ribosomal RNA". It matches the Rfam family "Bacterial small subunit ribosomal RNA", at positions 524 to 776 of the family's 1533-position model. The record is from RNAcentral.
UACGAAGGGUGCAAGCGUUAAUCGGAAUUACUGGGCGUAAAGGGCUCGUAGGCGGCCAACUAAGUCGGAUGUGAAAUCCCCAGGCUCAACCUGGGAACUGCAUCCGAUACUGGAUGGCUUGAAUCCGGGAGAGGGAUGCAGAAUUCCAGGUGUAGCGGUGAAAUGCGUAGAUAUCUGGAGGAAUACCGGUGGCGAAGGCGGCAUCCUGGACCGGCAUUGACGCUGAGGAGCGAAAGCUAGGGGAGCAAACGGG